GGUUUGGUGGUGGAGAAAGAGGGAGAGUGAAGAGGUAUUUAUAGGAAGAGAAGGAUAGGAUUAUCCGAAGAGGAGACAAGGGUACUGUUUUGGGCGGUUGAAUGCAUGAAUAACAUGCGCCAGAAAAGAGUAAUUGUUUGAAUACUCAUCGAUGGAUGUUAAAGAGGUGCUUUUGCAUCCUCAUCUCCACUCUGCCUCCGGUUGAUAGCUGAUGGUAUCGUAAAGCUCCUACAAUCAUUUGAAUCGUGGUUAUUGAUGUUUGUCCAUGAGAACCAAAAUCAUAUGGCUACUGAAAUUACAAAGAGUGUCAUUCUCAGACAAAGCUUCCAAUCCUACAUUGCAUGGGAGGGUCCAACUUGGCUCCAUCAUCGGAUUUCUCAAGAAACUUCUCCGGGCUAAAGGGUUGAUCCAUCUUUCAAGUUCUGGCUUGGGAUUGCUAUCUUAUAGCAUUAGUCCUUCUCAUCUGCCUCCAUCUUUCAGCAUGAGGUUUGUUUGUUUGUUGUGGUAUCUACUUGUAUUUCUUUCCUUCUUUUUUUUUCUUUGUAUCUCUUUCCUUUGUUUUCUGUUUUGCUCUUCCUCUGUUGUUUUUUCAACUCUUUUUUUUUUAUAACUAUGGUGUGAUUCUAAAAAGUUUAUAGGUCCAAUGAUUAAUCACCGCGAGACCUGCAUAAUUCGCGUUUUCUUACCACUUAAGGUAUUCCGGGUGACAAAAAAAAAUUAAACCUAGAGCGGUACCGGAAGUAGUAGCUUUGUUUUGGUUUUCAGAACCUUUUAGAAUUAUUAAGCUCCAACUCUGUAGUAGCUUUGUUUUGGUUUUCAGAACUUAAUGUAAUGAAAUUUGAAGUGUUAAAAAGCGUCAUAUUAGUUUCUGUUUUUGGAACUUAAUUGUUACUAUCUACUACUGAUAUGGACCUUCGAAUUUCUCUGACCUUUUCUUUUCACCCUUUUAAUUCCUUUUGUUAAACUCAAAGUUCGGAUUGCAAAAAGUCAGAAAUAAUAUGUAAGGACAUAUACUACGCUGGUAGAUAUAUUCCAGUUGUUUUUUUUGGAUUUUUAAAUUAGGUAAAGAGAAAAAAAAGGAAUAUAACUUUCGAAUUUCGAUCCGAGCGAGUGGCGCACUGGAAUAAGUUUCGGCGUUACACUAUUUUUAUAAAAUAUAAUUAUUAUUUUCAGACGUAAAUAGGAUAUCAUACACAUAAUAUAUAUACAGUAUAUAUCAAUACAAAAAAUAAAUAAAAACAUCUCUGUCUGGUAGAUAUUUAGAUGAACUGAUUAUGUUUUUGACGGUUUUGUAACAGUAUGUUCAACUCUUCUACUGUUGAUUACCUCAUGAUACAACUACUUUAUACGCAUUUUAUGUGAUUAACCAAGUAAGAGAGGUUAUAUUUAGUUACAAUGGUAUCAAUCAAACUUAUAAAUGCAUUAAAUAACUUGAAAUAUAUAGUUGGUAUGUUAUUUUAUGCAUGAAUAUAAUCACUAUUUCUUUUAACAAGUAAUUAUAUGCUUUCAAGAUAUUUUAAAAAUAUACAGUGUGAAGAGAAUAAUGACAGAGAAGGAUACCAUUUGGCAAUCACAUAAACAAAAUAAUACCCCAGAAGAUAGUUACAGAAAUAUUUAUCAAUAUAUAUGUUUUGGUAAAUUAGUAAAGAAGGUUCUUUGUCAAAAAAAAAAAAAGUAAAGAAGGUUGUCUUAAAUUUUGAAGACAGUUUGUCUACAGAUUCUCUGAUCUACAUUUAAAUGGAUAUAAGCAGGCAUAUCUGGGUCUUAUUAAGAUAUUAGGAUCACAUGUUUGUCCAUUUGUUCCGUUAUCUUCGAAGUCUCGCACCUAUCAGCAAUAUUGUGGACUCACUACUAAUAAAUAUGUUAUGUAGUGCAGGAGUGGUAUCAGUACAUAUAUGUAUGUUUGUGUUCCUUAAUUCCACCGGAAGUGUGACAUAAUUAUGAAACUUCUAAAAUUGAUCAUUCAACUAUUUCUCCAACUAAUUCAUCUUCAGGCUAUAUAUAUGAUUAUUUUUUACUAAUUUUUUUAACCAUUCUCUUUGAAAAUGACAUAAUAGUAAAUGUUUGAAUUACUUUCAUGCAUCUUUUUGCUAGAUAAAUUGUGGAUUACAGUAUUUGUUAUAUACAUAUAAACUAAAGCUAAUAAAACACACAAAAAACAGAACUGAGAAGUUAUAAGGAAUUUAUGGCUUUCAUACAAAUUUUGCAUGAUUUUAGAUAUGUUCGAAAAAUACACGUUAUAGGAUUGGUUACGAGUAGCCUUAGUCAAAAUAUUAUAAGAUAAGGAGAAGUCCUUGUACAUAUGAAACAUAAAAGAAAGAAAUUUGUUGUUUAGAAAAUAGAGCAAAAGAAGUAAAAAAAAAAAGUAGAGAUCGGUACGUGAGAAGACAUAAUUAAAUAGCUGGAAAUUGUUGUUUUGGUUACAAAAUGAAGGUUUUAGCUAAUGUAUAAAAUUGUGCUAAAAAAAAGAAAGCUAAUGUAUAGAAAUAUGUUAAAUUGUUGUGACUUGUGAAAGUAAAUGUCUGUCUCAGGACAAUUUUGUUUGUUAAUCUCUCAAGUUGAAUUACAGAGUAAACUUGUUUGUUUUGAAGGUGAAAAAUGAUGUCAACUGAGAUUUGAAUAUAUAUAUAUAGUAUAUACAUAUCUUGUCGAUUGUUGAAACAUUAAUUGUGGUGGGAGUAUAAUUGUUAGUCUAGUGAUAAAAUCCUAAAUAACUGCACAAAUACAAACUAUUUUCAAAUAAAAUGGCUGAUUUUUGUCCGUCCACAAAGAAUAACAGAUUAAAUUAAAAAACAAAAGUGGAAGUUCAAAAAUAAAUAAAGAAGAUUGCACGCACCAAAAAUAACCAACUCUCAAAAGAGAGUAACAAUUUAACAAAAUCUGGUAAAUGUCUCCCACAUAACAAAGUGGACACUGUAUCAUUGCAGUUCAAAUGCAAAUAAUUUCAUGGUUUAUUAUAAUAAUAAUACAGAGUAAUUGUGUGAAACAAUAUGAAACCAGUCCCUUCGGGAUCAUCCGAUAAAAUUGAAAUGAUAUACAGAAGAUUAGCAUGGUUCCUGCGCAAGGAUGACACGUACAAAUCGAGAAAUAGUCAAAAUUUCUUCAGUUAAAAAAAAAACAAUAUGAAACCACAAUAAUAUAUAUAAUUAAAAAGUUCAGAUGAGAAUGUAUAAUGGCCUUGUACUUUAUUUUGGUGAAUGAUUGCAGUUUUAUUAAUUCCAAAACAUUAGGGUCGGGGAUUGCAACUACAAAAGAAUUUUGUAGUUAGUUUGUGUUCAAAGAUUUGUGCUUUGUUCCAUCAUUAUGCACCCGUAGUUGGUAAUGACUCGGCAACAUGGGUUUUGCCUCACUUUUUUCUUUUGUUUCUUCAUUAAAGAGUCAAAAUAUACAUCAUAUGUUACAAAAAAGGUAUAUAUGUAUACCAUAAUAAUCUUUCUUUAAUCAUUUGAAAAAAAAUAAUAGAAGCUGAAUUAAAAAUAUUUAACUGACUAAGAUAGGAUAAACAUAUAUAUCUGGCAUCCAGACUUUUAAGGUAUAUGUAUUUGAUUCAAAAAUAUAUUAAAUUGAAGUCUCAGUAUUUAUAAAACUGUUAGACACUCAUAUAUAUAUUUUUUAAAGUUUGAUAAUUUAACUAAAAUCAGGUGUUUUUGUUGUGUGCCACAUUGGAGUAUAUAUCCAAAGUAUAAUAGAUUGCGUUUCACUAGAAAGCAAUGAUAAUUAAGUAUUUAUGAGGUUUAUCAUGGAUCAUGAAUUUGAGUUACAUUUUGAUCUUUUUUUUACAACCGUGAGGUCCAAAAGUUUUGUAAGUCCAAAGAUCGAUUCUACGAAGUCAUGUAUCAGGGUAUGCAACUAAUCUAUCUAAAUAUCAUGGUUAAGUGAUCAAGAUGAAUUAAAUUUAUGACAAAAAUUUCAACUGGAAUCCUUUUGUCACUAAGUCAAGAUGACUUGAUGUUUUAUAAGGUUUUAUUUAUCAUGCAUCAUGAACUGGAAGCUUGAUGUUUCUGUCAACCAAAUAGAAAGCAAAAAUAAAAGCAGAAAAAGGCACUCCAGAGUCGGGCAGGCCUAAAGAAUAAGUUAUACUCUAAAAGAUGCAUGCAUUUUUUUUAACUCGGAAUAAAUCAGUUUGACAAUGAAAUCUUAAUAUUGAGGAAAGUUUUAGAUAAUUUAAUAAAUAAUAUGUAUCAGAGAUUUCGGAUGACGCGGUGUUGAUCAGUUCUCGGGAUAUACAACCUUAUGGAUUCACUGAAUAGAGAGGAAGGAGAAGUUGUCAGCUCAUUGACUCCUGUAAGCUAUCCUUUAACUAGCACUCCGCUCUUUUCAGUUAAUCUAGAAUUUAUUGAUCUAAUUCAAUAGUUAGGUUUAUAUUCGUAUAUCCAAUUAUCUAAGUUUAUACUAUAUCCUUUUUAGAAAUAAAACUAUUCGGAAAUAACUGGAGUUAGGGUUUGUAUUUGAUAUAUAUAUAUAUAUAAAUAUGCGUUCAAGUGUCUUUGUUAUGAGUUGACUAAAGUUGCAUUGUUUAGUUAUUAUGUAUUCAAUCAUUUUCAAAGCAUUUCUAAUGUAUUACUCUUUUUCAAAAUAAAGUGAUUAUGAAAUUAAGUUUUACUCUAAUUUUAUUUAUUAUUUCAUUAUAAAAUAAAAAAAUGUAUUAAAUUUUACUCUAAAUUUUAUUUUAAAAUAAAAAAAUAAAGUAAGAUUAAAGAUGCUUUAACGUUUGGUCCAAUAUUCCCAAUGGUGUAUGUUUUACUUAAUCUGCAUGAAUUUUCAAGAUUUAAAAAAAAAUAUUUAUCCAUAAAACCAUGCUUUUAUUGUGAACUACUUCAUAAGUUCUAUAAUAGAGAAUAUUUAAAAUUUUUAAAUAUAAAAAUGUUUUGCUAUUUGAAAUAAUUGAAUUUUAUUUUAAAAUGCUUGCUUAAUAAUAUUUUAUUGUAUUAUUUAUAAUUGUUUAAUUAUUUCAAACUGAUAUUAUUAAUACUAGUAUCUUUUAAAAUGUAGAUUUAUUAAAUUUUAUGUUUUUUACAAAAAAUAACUUAUAUUAUAGAAAGGAGGGAAUAUAUAACAAAUAUACUUGUGAAAAUUUGAAUUUUUUUAUUGAGAUUUAUAAAGUCAUAACAGGUGUGUGGCCUAAUUCGAAGCGUCUGUAGCCUAAUUCGAAGCGUCUGUAGCACCAAACUCUAAAAUGAUUACAAAACUGAAAAAAGCAAUAUCACGGCUAACAGCAAUAAAGAAAGGAGAAAUCAAAUACAAAUUUGGAUAAUUAAAAGAAGAAAAAAUACGAUAAAGGAUCCGAAUGUUCAAUAGAAAAAAGAAUAAUCAACGAAUUUUUCUGAAAAGAAUAAAAAUUAGAGACGUCACAAAAUGGGAAGACUCCGUUAAUACAUAUUCAGUCAAAAGACAAAAGAGUCUACUUACAUUUAACUAUUGUGUCAUUUAAAAGUAACGGCUGACGGACAAAGUAUAUUCUUCGUGGAAAAAGAGACCAACGUGUUCGUGUAUUUACAUUACCCUGAGGAAGUUACCUAUUCCCUCUAAAGCUGAACAAAAUAUCCUUAAAUUUUAAUUUAACGUUAUUCGUUUCGAUUUGAACUAAAAAAUCUGAACAUAUAUAACUCUAUCAAUCAAACCAAAUAUUAAUAUGCAAUAUCUAUUCAGAUAUUCUCUACAUUUCGGAACAGAUACAUAUCAGAUUUUUCAGUUUGGGUUCGAUUCAGAUUUCGGAUUACGGAUAUUAUGCCCAUGCCUAAACAUACCUCUCAGUUUGUCUCAACUACAUCAGCUAUACUACUAAAUUGACCUGUGUUACUGUGUACGUCAAUUUUUUUUUUUUGUAAAAGAAUGUACGUCGAACUUAUCGUCGCAAAGUAGUUCAUAUGUUACGACUAACUAUACCGGCACUCGAAUGUGAAUCAGAAUCUAGUAAAAAACAAUCUUGUCAAAUUUACUUCUAUAAGAAUAGUAUAAUAAUGUAUUGUAUAUGUAUAUAUGAAGAAAAAAAAACAAUCUUGUCAAAUUUACUUCUGUAAGAAUAGUAUAAUAAUGUAUUGUAUAUGUAUAUAUGAAAAAAAUUGCUAAACUAUUUCACUUAUAGAAAUGAAGUGUUUGAUAAUUUAUUUCAUUUUUUUCUUGCUUGUGGAAGUAUAACAAUGUCCCUUUUUAUCGCAUACUCAAAUCAUCCAUUUGGUCAUUAAAAAAAUAGUACUAUUCAACAUUCAAAGCCAUUAUAAGAAAGAAAGAAUUUAGGCAAUAAAAUUUGUCAAGCUGAAAAAAAAUCAUAUGCUAGACUUUAACCACUGCUUCAUACUAUAGCGUUGCUAUUAAUAUUCUUUUAGUGGUACCAACCAAAUCUCGUCCAAAUAAUCAGCUAAAAAGGGUCAAAAUAUCUUGCUAAGCAAAGAAUCUUGCCUUUUUCCUGGUUGAGCAGGAUCUAGAUCCAUCGAACCAUCACAUAAGAUAGUCGAAUCAAGCAUCUGAGUCUCUUUAUUUUCCUCCCCAAAUCCUUCACGGAUCUUAUACACCACGCGCAUCUACAUAUGUCACUCGAAUUUUAUAUUUUUUAUAUUAGUGUUAAAGUUAGGACAAGUUUUCUAAAGUAAAAACGUACGCAAAACCAAGUUCUCUCGUGACUAGAAAAUAAUCAGUUCUUUUGUUAUAUUCAAAACGAUUUUGAUUCAAAUAAUUUAAUCAAAACUAAAGCUAAGUUUAUUUGGAUUGUUACAACAAUCUACCAUAUAUCCGAUAAUAGGUUCGCUUAAUUAUCGAUAAGCUGGAAACUAAUUGAACUCAGACAAUAUUACUAGGCACGUUGUACAAUGAAACCGUUCUCUACAUACAAUAAAUGAAGCGGUUUAUAUUUUGUACUACAUCCUAGUUAUAAAAAAUCAAAACAUUUAACCACACAUACAUGGUGUUAAUUUUAGAAGUGUUAAAUCUUUAUGCACCAAAAAAAACCAGCAUCUAGUUGACAUCUAGACCAACGUUGAAUUGGCCUAGUGAUAAAAAAAAUGUUAGUAGCCUUUUCUUGCUCAGGUUCAAUCCGUAUUGAAAAAGAUUAUUUAUAUUGCUAAGAUUUCUAGCAAGUAGGUGAAAUCAUUUUUUUUCCAUUAAAAAAAGAUUGACAUAUAGAGAAUGUAGGGGCUAAAGGUUCCCGCGGUACAAUAGACUUUUUAAAAUCAAAUGUUUUUUUAGGAUAAAUAUAUAUUUUAAAAAGAAAAAAAUUAGAUUUUGAAACAAUUAUAAAUAUGAGUCUAAGAAAUUGUAAAAUUCUAAAAAAGUUUGUAAAGUUAUUUAUUCAUAUAAUAAUAUACAAACAAAAAUUUGCCUCGAUACAUUUUGUUCUUGAGUUCUUUAUUUUCUUUUAUAUUUGAUUUGUGCUUGUUUGCAACAUAUGAUCUAGUGAUAAGCAAUUCGAUGAAUUAAGUGAUCUGAGUUUGAAUUAAUUUCACGACAUUAACCAUUUAACUAUAUGCUUUUACAUUUAGAUUUGUAUUUUAAUUUUAAAGUAAAGUUCAUUAAUUAGUUAAAUCUAAAACAUCAAUCUUUAAAUGUAAACAUAAAAUUCAAAAUAUCAAAAUUUUAAAUAUAUAGAAGAGGUAGUAUUUAAGGCUGUGUAUCAUAACUAGUAUCCACAUAUUUGUUUUUUAGAUAAACAUGUUGGGCAACUUGGUCUUCCAAAUGGCAGCAUCACACCAUGCAUGCAUAACAUGCAUAACUCGAAAGAAUAAAGUAAGAAAAAAUAUAAACAAAUACUAAAUAUCAAAGAAAUAAAAAUAUGUCGGACUAAACAAUUUAUUUUCUAAAAAGUUGGAUCGGAUAUAUCUUAAAAAUUUAUUUGGAUACACAAAAAUCACUAAUCUUCCUAUGUAGAAAUGAAAAGCUUUGUUAUUUUACAGAUCGUGUCAGUCAUAUGUUUAUCACUAUACAAACAUCUAUAAUUUCAAGUGUUACGAUCCUUUUUAAGUGGGGGUUUUAAUCCAUAGCAAAAAAGAUACUGAAUUUCACAAAAUACAAAGAGAUAUAGUAAUAAAUACACAUAGUGAACAAAACAAGAGAGAUGGGGUAGAGGGAAUAAAUACAUCUGUUACCACUUACCAGUUUCAAUCAAAUAUAUAUACACAUUGAAAAUAGUAAUAUCUACUUAAGAAUUUAUUUUUUUUACUUAAGAAAAUAUUAAUAAUAUGAGUUAAAAUUUAUAGAAUAGAGUGACAACUGAACCAAACCAAUUCGAGAAGAUAUACGAACUUUAGUCUAAAAUCUCUUCUUUUUUUUUUUUUUUAGUCUAAAAUCUCUUACUCAAAAGAUAAAAAAAAAAAGCAAAAGAAAAAAGAAAAGAGAAUGACCUUUUUAAUGAAUUUGGGGAAUACAUACAUUCUGGUUUGCCACGUGUUAUAUAAACCAUUGGUGAGUUGCUUUGCACCCAGAGAUGCAGGCACAACCAUUUUGAGCAAAGGUGGUCCAGCUUGCUGUUAUAAGUCCGGACUCUCGGACCAUACACUUACUAAUAACUGCUCGUUAACUAACUCUGUGGUAUCAAGUUGUUGAUGGACUAAUGGUAGUAGGAUUGGUUCUUUUAAUGUCCCGAGCUUAAUCUAUUCUUUCUUAUACAGAGUUAUUAUUUAAAUUAGAAUAUCUAAAGCUGACUCCAAAUGUAGAGAAAAUUAAACUUUCACUGUUAACAAAAAAAAAGAAGACUAACUUGGUAUUUCUCAAACUUCUUUUUCAUUACAUAUGUUAAUUAUUUUUCAGACUUUGAUUUUGGCCGGCCGUCAUGAGUCUGUUAUUGGAUAUUUCUCUCUUUUCUUCUUCACGGAUUACGUAAACCCCAUGACAUACAACAUCGCUGUAGUCACUUUGUUGCCGACACAUAUAUUAUAAUCUUGUAAGUGGAUGGAUCUUGAAUGUAAAUAUAUUGCGAGUUUGAUUCUUCUGAUGCGGAAACUAAGUCACAUUGUUCUAUUCACGAUGGCUGCGGAUAAGUUCGUAUAAAACUCCUACUGCGGAAACUAAGUCACAUUAUUCUAUUCACGAAGACUGCGAAUAUGUUCGUAUGAAAAUCUAAAAGGACCUGUCGUGGACUCCAUUUCUUACCCGAGAGUUAGAUCCAUAUCUUUAAUAGACCCGAAUUUAUCUUUUUCUUUUUCAAAAAAUAAUCUUAUAAGGAUUUAUUAAAACUGUCGAUACGAGGGUGUAGUAGUUACUCUGAUUGUUAAAAUCUAUUUGCGAUUUUUUUUUGUUUAUGUUUUGAUGUGUUUGUGUGUCAAACAGUAGUGACAAACCACGAAACUUCUUCAGGUAUGCUUACAAACUCGAUCCUUAUAUGAUUUAUGAGAGAACAUCUAUCUUUAUAUCUUAGCUAGUGUACCUACCAUGAAUUUAAACUAAACUUUCGACCGACCAUAAAGAACAUCUAUCUUCCGAUCGUUUUUUUUUUUUUGUCUCACAUGAUAAUGUUUAGAAACUCACUAGAACCAUAUAUGACACUUGAAACCUAUAAAUUAGUCAAAAUUUUAUUUUAUAAUUAACUUUUAAUUAUAUAGCUAUAAUUUAUUAAAAUAUCAAUAUCGUUUUUGUUUAAAAAACGUUUUGGAGUUCUCACUGAUAAUAGUAACAUAUAUGUCUCUCAGAUAAUUUCAUUUUAGUUUUUAAAAUUAUUUUUUACUUUCUUAGAAAAAUAAACUACACUUAAAAGAACAAAUGUGAUUUGAGUCUCAAUUUUUUUUGAAAGUUUCUCAAAGAAGAGCUGUUUUUAGUCUCUCUUAAUUAAUCAUUUAUACUUAAUUUUUAAUCAUUUAUAUUAAAUUUAAUCAUGAGAAACUCACUUAACAUACCUAGGACUAGGCUAAUAAACCAAACCCAAAAACCCGACCGAACCCAAAAACCUGAUCCGAUGAAAAUAAGUCUGAACCGAUUCGAACCCGACAUAAAUACUGAAUGCAUCUUGUUCUAUGAAAUUUUUGGGCUACGGCUAUUAUCCGAACUGAACUCGAACCUAAAUGGAUAUCCGACCGAACCCAAAACAUUCAAAAUCUCAAAAGAGAACUUGUACCAAACAUGAUCUUUAAUUUCUAAUAUGUAUCAAAAUAUAUUGAACAUCUAAAAUAAUUAUCUAUUACAUGAAGCUUGAUGGUUGAAGAAGGCGGUUGAAGCUUAUUUUUUUUUAGAUUUUGGUUUUGUUUUCAUUGAAUAAUGUUUCUCAUUUUAUGAGAAUAUGGUUUUCGUUUUAUGCUUUCAUUUAUUUGGUUUUCUUUCUAUCGAUAACUAUGUUUAUCUUUCCUUUGAUUUUGAAUGAUCAUGUUUGAUGUUAACUUAUGUUUUGGUUAUAAAAUAAAUACAAAUCAGGUAUUUUAAAACCGGUGAACCGAUUUUACUUUGAUUUUGGUUACAAAAUAAAUACAAAUCGGAUACAUUUAAACUGAAGAAUCAAUUGGGACCCAAAUCCAAAAAUACAAUGGGUUGUACCGGUUCUUUGAAUAUUUACUAACCUCGGCCGAAUCCGAUAGAACCCGAACCGGUCCCAAACCAAACUUUCUAUAAUCCGAAUGGAGUUAGUUUUGAUAAACCCAAAAAACGAGAACUGAUUGGACAAAACCGAAACCCGAUCGGGAUUCCGAAUGCCCAUGUCUAAACAUACCAAUGUGGAUGCUCUAACGUUUAUAAUGAUAGACCGAGUUACAGUAAUAACAAUAAUGUACAGUUUACCAGAUCGCAAUUCCUAUUAAUAUUGAUACCUGAGUUUAUAAAUCAAUUUAAACCUAACACAAUAAUAAUUGAAUAUUCCCGUGGCCAGAAAAAUGGCAUAUAUGUUUGGUCCCGUUUCUCUAGAAGUUAAAUUUCAAAUCUAGCUGGAUUUCUUAUUUUCUAAUCUUGAUUUAUUUUCAAGUUUUGUUUGAGGUUGUUAAAGAAAAGAGUUACCUAUAUGAGGUUGACACACACUAGACUAUUUUGAGUAUUUCCAAAUAUUUUCGAUUGUUCUUUUCCUGAAAAGUCAUUAUUUCGGAUUGACCCUAUUAAUUCCUUGACGAUGUAGAUCACCUACCAAACACCUUUGUUCUCUGCAAAAAGAUAUCCACCCAACCCAUUUUGUUAUAGAUUCAAAUCACACAACGACGUUAGUAAAGUAGUAAACUUGUAAAUACAGUUAGGAUGAGUUUAUGUAUCAAAAAUUCAGUUCAAAACUGAAAAGAAUUGGUAGCAAAGAUUCAUUGACACAAAAUGAAUGAGCUAAAGUGCGCAUGAAAAGUUCAAAAAAAAGUCCGCAUGAACGAUCCCAAGACAAGGGCUAAUACGCUCUAUUCUUAAUUUAAUCCCAUAUGCAAUAAAUUGAUUUGCAUGUUAGAAAGCGGACGAUGAACUAAGACCAAAUGAAUAUGUGGUGAGCUAAGCUCUCCGAACUACACUUAUAAUUCACGUAUGAGAUUAGUCGGUAGGUUUAUAGACUUAGUCGGUCGGUAACACAAGAUUUUCGCAUGCAGGAAACUCCGGUCUCGUGUAUUCAAUUUAAAGUUUGAGAUGAUUUGAUUUUUAAUGAAGUUUUAGAUAGUUUUAAUAAAUUAAAGAAUUCUAAAUGAUUUUUAUUAAGCCAUUCUAGAACAUAUCAUCUAAACCACGAAAUUUGAUUUUUUUUUUUAAAUUAAGAAAUUCCAUCCAAACACACUCUUAAAUCAUUUGAAAACUCUAAAAUUUUACAAUUUAAAAUAUUUUCAAGAGUAAAUUAGCUCAAUAUACAAAAAGAAGUGGGAUACCAUAGAGUUGAGGGAAAAUGGUGAUGAUGGGGGGAAAAAAAUUGGGGGGAAAUAGGGUAUGGAGUGCAAAUAGGGUAUAUGUUGUGUAUAGGGAGUACAAAUUCUCUAUUUUCAAUAACAAUAGAUUUCAGAAUACUUUAUAAAAAUAUCAAAUUCAAUAACAAUGGAUUUUAAAUGAAUUUUUAAAAUUCAUAUUUGAAUAACAAUAAAUUUGUUAUUUUAAUGCAAAUCACCUCAGACCUCCUUCAAAUACAUUCUCCACAGCGUUACUUCAGAAUGAGCUAGAAUUUUUUUUUUGAAUAACAUAAAAAUCCCAAAAUGUAUUGGAACGUAAAACAAUAUCUGUUAAAGAUACUCUGUUAUUAAUGUAAAGAUAAUGUAACUACAGUAAAAACUCUUUAAAUUUAUAAUAUUGAGACUUUACUAUUUUAUUAAUUUAACACUAUUUUUAAAAUAUAUUUUUUGUAACAUAAGAAAAUAAUUAAACUAUUAUAAUAAAAAACUAUUAUUUUUAUUAUAUUAUUUAGUGUAUAUAAAAUAUUUAUUUAUAGGAUUUAGAUGAGUUUUAGAUAAAAUUUUAUUAAAUACUAUCAAAAUAUUUUGAAUUUAAAAAAUAGAAAUAGACGCUAUUGUGAAUAUAAAAUAAAAAUAUAUAAAUUUCUGUUUAUCCUUAUAGUAAUUGCAUAUAUAUAAAUUAUUAAUUUGUAAAUUUAAUGGGACCAUAUUUUUAUAUAAUAUUUUUUAAAAACAAUUAUCUUAUAUUUUAUCGCUGAACCUAUUCAGAACUAACUUUAAAUUAAUUUGUGUUAUUUAUUAAUUUAUCGAAUAUUAUAUAGAGUAUACUGUAUUUUGAUCAUAAUUUAUCUUGUGUGAGGUCUUUUACAUACUUUAGUACUAGCAGUUAAUUAUUCCCUACAUAUAUAUUAUAUGUAUAAGGUCUUUUGAUGUUUGAUUAUACAGAGGUUCAUAUCUUUCCGAAUAUCUUUUUGGAGUAUUGUUUGGCAUAUAAAAUAUGGUACCAGUUAUUCCCGAUCAGAGAAUAUAAAAAAAGUAUUCAAAUUCUACUUUGAAAUCUCAAAGAGGAAAACAAACAAACAAGAGAAAGAUUAUCAUCACUGUCCUAGUUUAUGGACCAUAUCAUCACUGUCCAAGUGCAUGGACCAAAUGGGAUCGCGGCCUCCACCACUUGCUAAAAAUAUACGGUUCAUGUUUAGAUUAAACCGGUCGAGCCGCGUGUUACAUGUAACAACGAUGUACCGUAUACUCGCAAGAUUUACAAGACCAUACACUUGUAUUAUUUUCUUAUUUUUUUUUUUCAUUUAGUCUAGCUUUUCAAGGAAUAAACUAGAUUAUAUUGAAUUAUGAAGCACAUGAUGCACAUAUAGUUAAUUACUAGCUUUUAGACAACACUGGGAAUGGCUAAAUAUCUAGAUAAGAAUAAGAUAUAUAAAACGAAUUUUCAUCAUGGGCACCGAAUUUAUCAUACAGUGUCAUACAUUAAAACAACAAAACGAUAACAUUUUCAUCCACUAGACUAAUUAUGAGAAGUUCGGCAUGUUUAAAUAGUUACUUCAUCAUUGGAGACUAGAGCAUGCUCAUAGAUCCUCUAACUUAGGAGCUCAUCUCAUUGCUAAAUGUGUGACUAGAGAGAGGAUCAUGGCAAUCAUAUAUCGCUUCAAGUUUUUUUUUUUUUUUGGUAAAAAUGUUAAGAUUGCAUUACCAUUUUAAAGUUUGUGACAGAAGUUACAGAGAAUCACUAGUAGCAGAAGACAAACGCCAAAAAGAAACUACAACACAACAACAAUUACAGUAAGAAAAACGCGAGAAUGAGCUGAACCUAGAAGUAGAAGAAAGAACACACGGGAAGAACUUGAAAGGGUUGCUAAGAGCGAGCAGCACGCAAGAUCGAACUCCAAAGGAAGGCGCCAGUUAAAACAUGAGUCGCUUCAAGUUUCCGUUCUUGGCUUAAGGAUCUCUUUGUCAGUGAAGGUGGCUAAACCACUUGUAUUUUUUUUUGGCUGGUUUAUUGUAUGAUUCCUCUUGAUCUGUCUUUUUUGUUUCUUUGAACCCUUGCGGGUAUCUACUCUUCAGACGAAGAAAUAGUUACUUCAUCAUGAGUCAUGACAAUCGGCUAAUUAAUCAAUAUUCCAAAAUAUGGAGAGAAAUGGCUCUACAUAGAACAAUACAAUUAAUCUCAAAAUUAUCAUUCAGAAAGUAAAACUUCACUCUCAAAACCAAUAUUUAAGACGCUUAAUAGUAUCUAAUUAAUAUAUAAUCUCAAAAGAUAACAAUAAUAGAUCUUGCGCUUGUAUGAUGAAUACAAAAAAAUAUAUUUAUUAAAAUCAAAUAGACGCCCACUAACUCGUCCCCAACAACAACUAUAUAUGACUAUACAAACUAAAUGAAAGUGCAGUGGUAGCAUAAUCCUAAACCUCCAUUCAUCUUUUAAAUAUAUCCAAAACCCGAAACAACUAAUUUCAUGAGGAUAUCCAUUGAAAAUCUCUGUUGAAUGCUGAUUAUUUAAAUCAUGUCUACCUAGAAACAUAAGAUGUUACAUAAGAUGUUACAGAAAAUAUCACUAUCAUAAGCCUUUUUUUUAAAUCACUAUUUCAUAUUACAUUUAAAUAUUAAGAAUACAUCCAUAUAAAACGUGUUUUAACCCAUUUUAUUUUCAUGAACUAGGAAACCCGUUAUCAGUUUUCUUAACAGUCAUCACUUAUCACUAUAGUGUCUUUUUUUUUCGAAAAACGCUUUCUAUUUAAAUGAAAGUAACCAUUACAGCUAACUUAUAGUGUCUUCUAGUGUAAAUAGUUUAUAAGAAUGAGUUUUUUUUUGUCAAAUCUUCUUCGAAACUAUAGGAAUCAUAUGUACAUAUGAAUCUAAGUGCUCUUUUUACUAAUCAUAUUUGAUCAUAUUCGCAUGCAAGGGUAAGUGCGCGUACGAGUGACUGUGAAAAAGAUGUACACAUUCACAACAAAAUAUGCCGUGACGAAUUUGGCCAAAAGAUUGUGAGAAUAAUCAACACUCGUUGUGUAUAUAAAGUGCUUUACAUGCAUCUGCAUUUACAAUCCACACAUCCUAUAUAAACAGAUUUAUUGAAUUAAUAUAAAUCUCUCAAAUCGAGGAGAACCCUCGCAACAAAUGUUUAUGUAGUUAUGAAUCACACACAUACAUGCAUAUAUAUGAUGAAUGAAUAUGUAUAUAUAUAUAUGCGUACUUAUAUAGAGCGUGGAUGAUUGAUCAUACAUGAUCAUGAUAAUGUCCAAGGUAUGGGACAGUGGCGAUACUUGCGAAUGGCAUGUUUUGAUUCGAACCCACCCUAACAAGCACAACAAUGACAAUAAUAAUUAAUAGUAUAUAAUAAAAAGCUUUGUAAUAAUGUCCUUUGUGGAAUUUUAAUUCCAAUAUUCUCAAUUAUUGACCACAUAAAAGAAAAGAGAAUAGAGAGAAAUGCCCAUUUUCCAAAUUCCCGAAUUCCAUAACCACUACGAUGUUCGAUUUUAUGUGCUGAUAAGAAUAACUUUCGUUUCACAAUCUUUUCACUAUUUACUAUUUCGGAUCAUAAUGUCUUGAUUUGAUUU
This is a long non-coding RNA of Brassica rapa (field mustard), 15316 nucleotides long. RefSeq lists it as uncharacterized. NCBI's taxonomy places the organism in Eukaryota, Viridiplantae, Streptophyta, Magnoliopsida, Brassicales, Brassicaceae. The record is from RefSeq and is a predicted model, not a curated record.